Molecule: ribosomal RNA, 506 nt
Filed under: uncultured bacterium
Lineage: Bacteria
Description: partial 16S ribosomal RNA
Rfam family: Bacterial small subunit ribosomal RNA
Source: RNAcentral
AGUGAACGCUGGCGGUAGGCCUAACACAUGCAAGUCGAACGGCAGCACAGAGGAGCUUGCUCCUUGGGUGGCGAGUGGCGGACGGGUGAGGAAUACAUCGGAAUCUACUCUGUCGUGGGGGAUAACGUAGGGAAACUUACGCUAAUAUCGCAUACGACCUACGGGUGAAAGCAGGGGAUCUUCGGACCUUGCGCGAUUGAAUGAGCCGAUGUCGGAUUAGCUAGUUGGCGGGGUAAAGGCCCACCAAGGCGACGAUCCGUAGCUGGUCUGAGAGGAUGAUCAGCCACACUGGAACUGAGACACGGUCCAGACUCCUACGGGAGGCAGCAGUGGGGAACAUUGGACAAUGGGCGUAAGCCUGAUCCAGCCAUACCGCGUGGGUGAAGAAGGCCUUCGGGUUGUAAAGCCCUUUUGUUGGGAAAGAAAUCCAUCUGGUUAAUACCCGGGUGGGAUGACGGUACCCAAAGAAUAAGCACCGGCUAACUUCGUGCCAGCCGCCGCCGUAA